GACGAACGCUGGCGGCGUGGAUUAGGCAUGCAAGUCGAACGGUAUCAUCCUUUCGGGGGUGAGAGAGUGGCGAACUGGUGAGUAACACGUAGGUUAUCUACCCUCAAGACGGGGACAACCCAGGGAAACUUGGGCUAAUACCGGAUGUGAGCAACUUUUAGUUGUUUGAAAGGUGGCGUAAGCUGUCGCUUGGGGAUGAGCCUGCGUCCUAUUAGUUAGUUGGUGAGGUAACGGCUCACCUAGGCAAUGAUAGGUAGGCGGCCUUAACGGGUGGUCGCCCACACUGGGAUUGAGAUACGGCCCAGACUCCUACGGGAGGCAGCAGUCGAGAAUAGUCUACAAUGGUCGGAAGACUGAUAGUGCGACGCCGCGUGAACGAUGAAUCCCUUCGGGGUGUAAAGUUCUUUUAUAUGUGAGCAGUGCUUCUCAUAUUAACAGUAUGGGGAGAGAGAUAUUAGCAUAUGAAUAAGCAACGGCUAACUCCGUGCCAGCAGCCGCGGUAA
This 503-nucleotide ribosomal RNA is filed under the name uncultured bacterium. RNAcentral's name for it is "bacterial SSU rRNA". It matches the Rfam family "Bacterial small subunit ribosomal RNA", at positions 28 to 523 of the family's 1533-position model. The record is from RNAcentral.